Molecule: long non-coding RNA, 1422 nt
Filed under: Taeniopygia guttata (zebra finch)
Lineage: Eukaryota; Metazoa; Chordata; Aves; Passeriformes; Estrildidae
Description: lncRNA (ENSTGUG00000027571.1)
Source: RNAcentral
CCCCCUUGGAGGGGGGACAACACCAGCAUGGGGGGGUGAGGUCUCCUCCCUCGUUUUUUUGGGAAGCAGCAGUUCCAACCCACCCUGGGGAUGUCCCCUCAGCAGAGCCCAGCGAGGGACCGGGGAUGUCCCCUCAGCAGAGCCCAGCGAGUGUCCCUGACCCCACUGCCACAGUGUCCCCGUUCCCGCAAUGUCCUCACUGCCACAGUGUCCCUGUGUCCCCACCGUGUCCCUGUCCCCACAGUAUCCCCAUGCCGCGGUGUCCCUGCUGUUGCAGUGUCCCUGUGCCCACAGUGUCCCCAUGCCACGGUGUCCCUGACCCCACAAUGUCCUCGUGCCCACAGUGUCCCCAUGCCGCGGUGUCCCUGUGCCCACAGUGUCCCUGUACCCACAGUGUCCCUGUCCCCACAGUAUCCCUGUCCCCGCAGUGUCCCCGUUCCCACAGUGUCCCUGUGCCCACAGUGUCCCCGUUCCCACAGUGUCCCUGUACCCACAGUGUCCCCAUGGCGCAGUGUCCCUGUACCCACAGUGUCCCUGUGCCCGCAGUGUCCCCGUUCCCACAGUGUCCCUGCUGUCGCGGUGUCCCUGUCCCCACAGUGUCCCCGUUCCCACAGUGUCCCCACUGCCACGGUGUCCCUGCUGUCAGUGUCCCCAUGCCGCAGUGUCCCUGUCCCCGCAGUGUCCCUGUUCCCAUAGUGUCCCUGUUCCCACAGGUGUCACUGUGCCCACGGUGUCCCCAUGCCACAGUGUCCCUAUUCCCACAAUGUCCCCACUGCCACAGUGUCCCCGUUCCCACAGUGUCCCUGUGCCCACAGUGUCCCUGCUGUCGCGGUGUCCCUGCUGUCGCGGUGUCCCCGUUCCCAUGGCGCCGGUAUCCGGGAGAAGCCGCUUUCGUGCCGCCGCUGGGCAUAAAGCCCCUCCCCCUGUGCUUGGCCCGGACAGUGGCGGGGACAGGGGACAGCACACGGUGACAGGGGACAGCACACGGGGACAGGGGACAGCACACGGUGACAGGGGACAGCACACGGUGACACGUCCCCAGGGCCGAGCGCUGCUCCACUCCUUCAUCCUCCUCAGCCGGUCUCCAUCGGCCAGCAAAGAACCGGGGGUGGGGGACCCACCGUGUCCGCUGUCCCCGCUCAGGGUGGCGGUGAUGUCGCUCCUGUGAUGUCCCUGUCCCCCUCUCCCGCUGCCGUUUGUGCUCCGCGUCCGUGCGGCAGCGCCGGUUCGGGGGCUCCCGGCGGGGCCAUCGGGGUGCGGGGCGGCAUCGGGGUCCCCCCGGUCCCCCACUGUGCCCCCCGCAGCCCUCGCUUGGGACCCCCCGGCAGCCCCCCGGGCCCCGGAGCGGCCCCGCCGGGGGGUGCCCGGUCCUGGGGGGUGUCCGGUCCCGAGGGGGUGCCCGGCUCUGGGGGGGUGCCCGGU